This 909-nucleotide ribosomal RNA is filed under the name Neosetophoma cerealis. RNAcentral describes it as "partial 28S large subunit ribosomal RNA". It matches the Rfam family "Eukaryotic large subunit ribosomal RNA", at positions 34 to 962 of the family's 3401-position model. The record is from RNAcentral. Lineage: Eukaryota; Fungi; Ascomycota; Dothideomycetes; Pleosporales; Phaeosphaeriaceae.
UUAAGCAUAUCAAUAAGCGGAGGAAAAGAAACCAACAGGGAUUGCCCUAGUAACGGCGAGUGAAGCGGCAACAGCUCAAAUUUGAAAUCUGGCUCUUUCAGGGUCCGAGUUGUAAUUUGCAGAGGGCGCUUUGGCGUUGGCAGCGGUCCAAGUUCUUUGGAACAGGACGUCACAGAGGGUGAGAAUCCCGUACGUGGUCGCUAGCCUUCGCCGUGUAAAGCCCCUUCGACGAGUCGAGUUGUUUGGGAAUGCAGCUCUAAAUGGGAGGUAAAUUUCUUCUAAAGCUAAAUACUGGCCAGAGACCGAUAGCGCACAAGUAGAGUGAUCGAAAGAUGAAAAGCACUUUGGAAAGAGAGUCAAAUAGCACGUGAAAUUGUUGAAAGGGAAGCGCUUGCAGCCAGACUUGCCUGUAGUUGCUUAUCCGGACUUUUGUCCGGUGCACUCUUCUGCGGGCAGGCCAGCAUCAGUCUAGGCGGUUGGAUAAAGGUCUCUGUCAUGUACCUCUCUUCGGGGAGGCCUUAUAGGGGAGACGACAUGCAACCAGCCUGGACUGAGGUCCGCGCAUCUGCUAGGAUGCUGGCGUAAUGGCUGUAAGCGGCCCGUCUUGAAACACGGACCAAGGAGUCUAACAUCUAUGCGAGUGUUUGGGUGUCAAGCCCAGACGCGUAAUGAAAGUGAACGGAGGUGGGAACCCUUUGGGUGCACCAUCGACCGAUCCUGAUGUCUUCGGAUGGAUUUGAGUAAGAGCAUGGCUGUUGGGACCCGAAAGAUGGUGAACUAUGCUUGAAUAGGGUGAAGCCAGAGGAAACUCUGGUGGAGGCUCGCAGCGGUUCUGACGUGCAAAUCGAUCGUCAAAUUUGGGCAUAGGGGCGAAAGACUAAUCGAACUAUCUAGUAGCUGGUUCCUGCC